This is a long non-coding RNA of Manihot esculenta (cassava), 1040 nucleotides long. RefSeq lists it as uncharacterized. The transcript is spliced from 2 exons. The record is from RefSeq and is a predicted model, not a curated record. Lineage: Eukaryota; Viridiplantae; Streptophyta; Magnoliopsida; Malpighiales; Euphorbiaceae.
CUCAAUGGCUUCUUUGUGCGCUGGAUCUAAUGCAUCUGGAUCUCUUAACAAGUUUGUUAUAGCAGGGAUGAGGAAUUCCCGCACACUAUUUGCUGAAAGAUCUGCAGUAAUUAUAAGUAGAAAUGAGAAAUACUUCUAUGAAAAUCAUCCAUCAAGCCCUUGAGGAUGGCAAAUCUAGCAAACCAAUGAGAUUGUUUAGGUGGUAACAUGAACCUGUAGCAUCCAAGGCACGAAUUGCUUCACAGAAUGCAUUAGCCCUCUCACGGCGACGCAUGAUAUCAUUUGCAGAAGCUGGUGCCGCUGUAAAGUGAAAAAUCUUGGAAAGAAGGUGUAUGUAAUGUUAACGAAACAAUUUAUCUAUUCAUUAAAACCUAUAGACUGUUGAUAUAGGGAGGGGCUAAAGUAGAACAACUGAAAUUCUCUAAUUCAAUAAAACAAUCAUAAAAUUAAAUUAUCCAGAAAUGUUUAGGAUAUAAUCUCUAAGUUUCUCUGUUGUGUGAGGUACUGCUACCAGCAACCCACGGAUAACAGCAACAAAAGCUUCAUGGGAUCCAUCUUCAAGAAAAGCAUCCAUUUGAACAAGAAUUUUAUCAACUAUCUGAAACAUAACAAGUAUGAUGAGUGAAACCUAUGAACUGAUCCCUAAAGACUGCCAGUAUCACUUUAGGAGAAAAACACAUAUACCAUCUCAUUUUUGAAAUGUUGUGCUACAGCUCCAAAUGCAUCUAUGGUGGCAUACUUCACAUUCAGGUUUUGAUCAGAGCCAAGAGUAACUAGAGCAGGCAAAACAUGGAUAGAAACAACUUUUGCAUCAAAGUGUGCUACCUGUUAAAGAAUGAAGUUAAAAUUUCAAAAUAAUGUUAGGUGAAGUUUGAAAAUUCAAACAAUAAGUUGCCCUUCAAAUGAUGUGCAAACAAGCAAUAACCAACUCACUAUGACUUUUAAUAGAUUGAUAGUAUUGAUUCUCAUAUCUACGUUGGAGCUAACAACCAUUUCCCAUAAAAUAUUGAAUAUCAUACUAUGGUGAUGUUCAAUGGUGC